CAAUAGCGUAUAUUAAAGUUGUUGCAGUUAAAAAGCUCGUAGUUGGAUUUGUGGUUCGUCCCGCCGGCUGGGUCAUUGACUUUUGCUGUGCUGGUCGUCCAUCCUUGGGUGGAAUCUGUGUGGCAUUAGGUUGUCGCGCAGGGGAUGCCCAUCGUUUACUGUGAAAAAAUUAGAGUGUUCAAAGCAGGCUUAUGCCGUUGAAUAUAUUAGCAUGGAAUAAUGAUAUAGGACCUUGGUACUAUUUUGUUGGUUUGCGCACUGAGGUAAUGAUUAAUAGGGACAGUUGGGGGUAUUCGUAUUCCAUUGUAAGAGGUGAAAUUCUUGGAUUCUUGGAAGACGAACUACUGCGAAAGCAUUUACCAAGGAUGUUUUCAUUAA
RNAcentral lists this ribosomal RNA (378 nucleotides) under uncultured eukaryote. Its description in RNAcentral is "partial 18S ribosomal RNA". It matches the Rfam family "Eukaryotic small subunit ribosomal RNA", at positions 592 to 976 of the family's 1831-position model. The record is from RNAcentral.